AGUGAACGCUGGCGGUAGGCCUAACACAUGCAAGUCGAACGGCAGCACAGUAAGAGCUUGCUCUUACGGGUGGCGAGUGGCGGACGGGUGAGGAAUACAUCGGAAUCUACUUUUUCGUGGGGGAUAACGUAGGGAAACUUACGCUCAUACCGCAUACGACCUACGGGUGAAAGCAGGGGAUCUUCUGACCUUGCGCGAAUGAAUGAGCCGAUGUCGGAGUAGCUAGUUGGCGGGGUAAAGGCCCACCAAGGCGACGAUCCGUAGCUGGUCUGAGAGGAUGGUCAGCCACACGGGAACUGAGACACGGUCCAGACGCCUACGGGAGGCAGCAGUGGGGAAUAUUGGACAAUGGUCGCAAGCCUGGUCCAGCCAUACCGCGUGGGUGAAGAAGGCCUUCGGGUUGUAAAGCCCUUUUGUGGGGAAAGAAAAGCAGCAGGUUAAUACCCCGCUGUUCUGACGGUACCCAAAGAAUAAGCACCGGCUAACUUCGUG
RNAcentral lists this ribosomal RNA (492 nucleotides) under uncultured bacterium. Its description in RNAcentral is "partial 16S ribosomal RNA". It matches the Rfam family "Bacterial small subunit ribosomal RNA", at positions 29 to 507 of the family's 1533-position model. The record is from RNAcentral.